UCCUGGUUAACCCAGGCAGUCUCGCUAGAGUUCCCAGCAUUACCUGUUGGCAACUAACGAUAAGGGUUGCGCUCGUUGCGGGACUUAACCCAACACCUCACGGCACGAGCUGACGACAGCCAUGCAGCACCUGUGCAGAGGCCCCGAAGGGCGCUAUCAUCUCUGAUAGAUUCCUCUGCAUGUCAAACCUGGGUAAGGUUCUUCGCGUUGCAUCGAAUUAAACCACAUGCUCCACUGCUUGUGCGGGUCCCCGUCAAUUCUUUUGAGUUUCACCCUUGCGAGUGUACUCCUCAGGCGGUAUACUUAUCGCGUUUGCUACGGCACAACCAGGGUUGAGUCCGGUUACACCAAGUAUACAUCGUUUACAGCAAGGACUAC
This 378-nucleotide unclassified non-coding RNA is filed under the name uncultured Chlamydiales bacterium. RNAcentral's name for it is "contains 16S-23S intergenic spacer region". The record is from RNAcentral. Lineage: Bacteria; Pseudomonadati; Chlamydiota; Chlamydiia; Chlamydiales.